GGAGUUGUGGCUCAGUGGUAGAGUGCUCGCCUAGCAUGUGUGAGACCCUGGGUUCGAUCCUCAGCACCA
This 69-nucleotide transfer RNA is filed under the name Marmota marmota marmota (Alpine marmot). It matches the Rfam family "tRNA". From Rfam's summary of the family: Transfer RNA (tRNA) molecules are approximately 80 nucleotides in length. Their secondary structure includes four short double-helical elements and three loops (D, anti-codon, and T loops). Lineage: Eukaryota; Metazoa; Chordata; Mammalia; Rodentia; Sciuridae. The record is from Rfam by way of RNAcentral. RNAcentral also lists the same sequence under 1 other name.